GACGAACGCUGGCGGCGUGCUUAACACAUGCAAGUCGAACGGAAAGGCCCUGCUUAUGUGGGGUGCUCGAGUGGCGAACGUGUGAGUAACACGUGAGUAACCUGCCCUGGACUUUGGGAUAACUUCAGGAAACUGGGGCUAAUACCGGAUAGGAGCUCCUGCUGCAUGGGGGGGGUUGGAAAGUUUCGGCGGUUGGGGAUGGACUCGCGGCUUAUCAGCUUGUUGGUGGGGUAGUGGCUUACCAAGGCUUUGACGGGUAGCCGGCCUGAGAGGGUGACCGGCGACAUUGGGACUGAGAUAGGGCCCAGACUCCUACGGGAGGCAACAGUGGGGAAUAUUGCACAAUGAGCGGAAGCCAGAUGCAGCAGCGCCGCGUGCGGGAUGACGGCCUUCGAGUUGUGAACCGCUUUCGCCUAUGACGAAGCGUGAGUGACGGUAAUGGGUAAAGAAGCACCGGCUAACUACGUG
Molecule: ribosomal RNA, 468 nt
Filed under: uncultured bacterium
Lineage: Bacteria
Description: partial 16S ribosomal RNA
Rfam family: Bacterial small subunit ribosomal RNA
Source: RNAcentral